GGCGUGGUCCUUCUGCGGGGCCCCUUGGCAGAAGAAGAACUUGUGUGGACACCUCGGCAGGCAGUUGUCCGCCAAGCUCACCACUGCGCUGCCCUCCUGGAUCUGCCUCAACUGCCUCGGCAGGGCUCCGCACAGAUAGUUGCCUUGCAGCAUCAGCCUGACGAACGGCACCCACUGUUCCGUGGAUUCCUCGGCCGCGGCACGGACGGCGUACCGUUCGGGAAUGCCGCCGGUGAACCGGUUCCUGUCGAGCGCGACCGCCGCGAGCCGCGGCAUUGCGCCAAGGCAGGCUGGCAGCCGCCCAGCGAGCCUGU
This 314-nucleotide unclassified non-coding RNA is filed under the name Zea mays. RNAcentral describes it as "misc RNA Zm00001eb186180". Lineage: Eukaryota; Viridiplantae; Streptophyta; Magnoliopsida; Poales; Poaceae. The record is from RNAcentral.